UGGCGAACGGGUGAGUAACACGUGGGUAACCUGCCCAUCAGAAGGGGAUAACACUUGGAAACAGGUGCUAAUACCGUAUAACACUAUUUUCCGCAUGGAAGAAAGUUGAAAGGCGCUUUUGCGUCACUGAUGGAUGGACCCGCGGUGCAUUAGCUAGUUGGUGAGGUAACGGCUCACCAAGGCAACGAUGCAUAGCCGACCUGAGAGGGUGAUCGGCCACACUGGGACUGAGACACGGCCCAGACUCCUACGGGAGGCAGCAGUAGGGAAUCUUCGGCAAUGGACGAAAGUCUGACCGAGCAACGCCGCGUGAGUGAAGAAAGGUUUUCGGAUCGUAAAAACU
RNAcentral lists this ribosomal RNA (343 nucleotides) under Enterococcus casseliflavus. RNAcentral describes it as "bacterial SSU rRNA". It matches the Rfam family "Bacterial small subunit ribosomal RNA", at positions 96 to 432 of the family's 1533-position model. The record is from RNAcentral. Lineage: Bacteria; Bacillati; Bacillota; Bacilli; Lactobacillales; Enterococcaceae.